AAAGAAAAUAACCAAAAGUUCUAGCAUCGUUCAUAGGUCCUCGUACGUCUUCCAAAAUUUCCGGGCAAGACCUCGAUCCACUACUCGAUCCAUCCCGGUUGAUGAUUACUACUACCUGCAAUUAAAAGACAUCUAUAUGAGCUAUAAAGCUCAGUAAGAAAUCCGAUGAAAUAUCGAACUUUGAAAAUACGUUAUACAUAAUAUAUAAUAUUAUAUACCCAUGCUUACCCACGAAUCCGUACAACAACACAAGGCAAUCGAUAUCAUUACGUAACUCACGAGAACACAUCAUUUAACACAAAAUCACGUAAUCAUGCAAAAUGACUAAAAUGCCCUUUUUGUGAAAAUCAUGAAAAACACAUUUUCGUUUUAUCGGAUCCGUGAAAGAUUAAUUUCUGUACCUGGAUAAUAAACCUGUUACGAGCCCGUUUUCACUAAGUGGAAUCAAACCACUACACACAUCAUCCUAAUUGGAUACCGACCCACUAUAUCCGAGGUGUUUAUUACCCGAUAUUCCAUUAAUCUUUCAAAAAAAAUAAUUUUAAUGCAACUUUUCGAAAUCAUGCUAUAACCCCACACAUGACAUCACAAAUAUCAAUCAAGUGCCACAAAGUCACACAAAUCUUACAAUUUACCACAUAUUUGUAAAUUGGGCAAAAAUCCCAAAUUCACAUAUACGAACACACAACCACACACGGCACACACACCAUGCACAAUCAGCACACACACAUUCACACAUUUUCAGCACACACACAUGCAGCCAACACAUUAAACUUCACUAGCUAUUUAACAUCAACCAUGCUUAAAAACAAAUACCCCUUUCUCACAUCUCAUUUAAUGAACUUAUUACCACUUCUAGGUAAUAAUCCAUUUCAAUAACCUCUCACAGCCAUUAAACCACAUCCAGCAGCAAUAAAAAGUACCAAAAUACCAAAACUCAUCACUCAUAACCAUUAAAUCAAAACAUGAACAUUAAGGCACAAAACAUAUAUAAAUGAAAUGCAAAUUGUCCUAAUUUCGAAAUAAUAGCAAACUAAUUCCAAAAACCUCCAAAUAAAAUCCUAGAACUCCUAACUGACCCAAUUUCCAGAUUCUGAAAUUAUUUUAAAUUUUCACAAAGUUUCGAAUUUUCUUGAAAUUAAAAACUAGGAAAAUUUCUUUUUCAAUUUAAAAAUCCAAAACUCUAAUAUAACUCUAAUUGAUUCAAAAACUUGGUAAAUAAAACUUUUUCCUAUUUAGUACUAGCUGGAAAACAGAUACAAACUUUAAAAAUGAGAGAUUUUCCGAAAAUUGCAGUUUUGACCCAAAAGUUUCAAGAUUUAUACAUGCAACCACACUAGAAGUUCAAUUUCUACUUUUUCAUGAAAACCCCUAACAAAUAUGAAAUUACACUUUACUAGAUGCAGAAAAUGAAGUUGAAAAGUCACUUUAUGCAGAAAUUUUAGAAAUUACACAUUUUACCAUAAAAUCUCUAGAUCUAUACAUGCAAGCCUACUAGAAUUUCAAAAAUCAACUUUUCUUACAAAAAUCCCUUAAAUCCGAAAUUAUUGUUCAAUAAAUGCUGGAAAACAGUUUUGAAAACACUUUUAGGACUGACUUUACAGAAAUUACAGAUUUGAUCCAAAACUUUCGAAGAUCUACACAUGCAACCACAAAAAGUUAAAAAUUCGUUUUUCUUGAAAACCCCUUUUUGAAAUCUGAAUUUUUUAAGGCUCUUGACCAAUAAAAGUUGUAUCUGACCACUAUCAACUUAGAUGAUGCAUGCAAGAACAAGAAAUUAACAGGAAGCACUCAUUUUCCAUUUUUCUUCAAAAAGCCCCAUAUUUUCGAAAUCAUUCCCAAUCUUUUAAAAUUUCAUGAAAAUCAUUUCAAUACUAUUGAUGCCCUUUAAUUGCAGCAAGAAAUCGAAAUUUCUUACCUUAAGAAGCCGAAAGAAAAGAUGGAGGAAAAUCGAAGGAAAUGCUUCAAAGGUUGAUGCCAAGCUCUUGCCAAACUAUUUUGAUGGUGAAGGAGAUGGAGUGGAUUUUCAAGUGAGAUGUAUAUUUUUCUUGGUGAAUGAUGUUUUAGGCUACUCCAAGUCCUUGGUUAAAUAGGGGAAUUUUAGAGUAAUUUUUCAUUUUCUUUGAAAAAUAGGAGUUGAUGUGGAAGAAGAUGAAGAAUGGAGGUGGU
Molecule: long non-coding RNA, 2169 nt
Filed under: Erythranthe guttata (spotted monkey flower)
Lineage: Eukaryota; Viridiplantae; Streptophyta; Magnoliopsida; Lamiales; Phrymaceae
Description: long non-coding RNA (EGUT_LNC002203)
Source: RNAcentral